Molecule: non-coding RNA, 123 nt
Organism: Pteropus alecto (black flying fox)
Lineage: Eukaryota; Metazoa; Chordata; Mammalia; Chiroptera; Pteropodidae
Source: Rfam
GUCUAUAGCCAUGCUACCUUGACUGAACAAGCCUGAUCUUGUCUGAUCUCAGAAGCUAAGCAGGGUCGGGCCUGGUUAGUACUUGGAUGGGAGACCACCUAGGAAGACCAGGUGCUGCAGGCG